CAGGGAAGUGUGGGAGGAUAUAUUUUAGAGAAAGGUAGUUAAGAGAAAGUGAAUAAGUAGCAAGCAUUUACAGAGAUGGGUAAGGACAGGAGGAGGAGCUGAUGAAAGGGUGACCCAGAUCAGGGAAUAUCUUCCUGGAGUGGUGAUGAGGUGAAGAAAAUAUUAUACAGAGCACCUAUACCAAAAAGUACUUGCAAGGAAAAAGAAGGCAUUAGUCAAGGUUGAAUUUGGAAUCAAAGGAUCAAAGAUCAAAUCCCAGCUCUGCCACCUUUGUGACCUUGGAGAAGUCACAUAACCUCUCCAGACCUUUCUUCUGUAAGGAAUUUGAACCGGAUGACUUCUAAGUCCUCUUCUAACUCUGGAUCUCCAAUCCAAUAAACAUUUAUAAAGCACCUACUAUGUGCUAGGCAAUGUGUUAUGCCUGGGGGAUACAAUUAAUAAAAAGAAAGACGGUGUCCUGCUCUCAAGAUGCUUACAAUCUAAUGUGGAGGAGACAAUACACAAAAGGAGGCAAGGAGGGGGAAGGGAGGCAGAGGAAGAAGACAGACACCCGGGAGUAUCUUAUUCAGAGGAGCUGAAACCAAGCAGAAUAGCAGAUGCACAGUGAAAUAUAGGUCUGUGAGAACAAAUCAAAAUAACCAAACUGGUUUGUAUAAAGAGUGUGAGCCUCCAGAAAGCUAUCCAGCUUCCAGAUGCAGUUUGGGUUAUCAUCCACUCAGAGCCAUAGUUCAUGAGGCCCUGUU
Molecule: long non-coding RNA, 743 nt
Organism: Dromiciops gliroides (monito del monte)
Lineage: Eukaryota; Metazoa; Chordata; Mammalia; Microbiotheria; Microbiotheriidae
Exons: 3
Source: RefSeq, a predicted model, not a curated record